Molecule: ribosomal RNA, 391 nt
Filed under: Amphipoda environmental sample
Lineage: Eukaryota; Metazoa; Arthropoda; Malacostraca; Amphipoda
Description: partial small subunit ribosomal RNA
Source: RNAcentral
CUGCGGUUAAAGGCUCGUAGUUGAACCAGCGGAAUAUGAUUUCUUGCAAUAUUGAUAGAUUUUUAUUUGUAUUAUUUUUUAUAAUAUUUUUAAUUCCCCGAAUCAACGUGUAACAAAACGUAUGAUUUCAUCAUUUCGCCCCCACCCCUUAAUCCAGGGAUGGUUCAAUGGGCAUGUCGGGGACCCUAUUACUAUAUCAUAUAACAUAUAUACUUGCCAUAGGUAAGUUAAUAAACGUCUGCCUAUAGGCCGCAAUAAAGCUAACCCGGAGACGGUCCCCUUAAAGGCAAAUAUGUAUUAAAUCCCCACCCUGAAUUCUGUUCNNAUGGUAGACCAAUGGUUCCNNCUAUANGCUAUCUCGCUNUCCCGCCUAUGNGCCUUNUAUCCGCAG